AUGAACGCUGGCGGCGUGCUUAACACAUGCAAGUCGAACGAACCUUCGGGUUAGUGGCGGACGGGUGAGUAACGCGUGAGAAUCUGCCCUCAGGAGGGGGAUAACGGCUGGAAACGGCCGCUAAUACCCCAUAUGCCGAGAGGUGAAAUGAAUUUCGCCUGAGGAUGAGCUCGCGUCUGAUUAGCUUGUUGGUGGGGUAAUGGCCUACCAAGGCGACGAUCAGUAGCUGGUCUGAGAGGAUGAUCAGCCACACUGGGACUGAGACACGGCCCAGACUCCUACGGGAGGCAGCAGUGGGGAAUUUUCCGCAAUGGGCGAAAGCCUGACGGAGCAACGCCGCGUGAGGGAUGAAGGCCUCUGGGCUGUAAACCUCUUUUAUCAAGGAAGAAGAUCUGACGGUACUUGAUGAAUAAGCCACGGCUAAUUCCGUGCCAGCAGCCGCGGUAAUACGGGAGUGGCAAGCGUUAUCCGGAAUUAUUGGGCGUAAAGCGUCCGCAGGCGGCCUGACAAGUCUGCUGUUAAAGCGUGGAGCUUAACUCCAUUUCAGCAGUGGAAACUGUCAGGCUUGAGUGUGGUAGGGGCAGAGGGAAUUCCCGGUGUAGCGGUGAAUGCGUAGAUAUCGGGAAGAACACCAGUGGCGAAAGCGCUCUGCUGGGCCAUCACUGACGCUCAUGGACGAAAGCCAGGGGAGCGAAAGGGAUUAGAUACCCCUGUAGUCCUGGCCGUAAACGAUGAACACUAGGUGUCGGGGGAAUCGACCCCUCCGGUGUCGUAGUCAACGCGUUAAGUGUUCCGCCUGGGGAGUACGCACGCAAGUGUGAAACUCAAAGGAAUUGACGGGGGCCCGCACAAGCGGUGGAGUAUGUGGUUUAAUUCGAUGCAACGCGAAGAACCUUACCAGGGCUUGACAUCCUGCGAACCUCUGGGAAACCGGAGGGUGCCUUCGGGAACGCAGUGACAGGUGGUGCAUGGCUGUCGUCAGCUCGUGUCGUGAGAUGUUGGGUUAAGUCCCGCAACGAGCGCAACCCACGUCUUUAGUUGCCAGCAUUUAGUUGGGCACUCUAGAGAGACCGCCGGUGACAAACCGGAGGAAGGUGUGGAUGACGUCAAGUCAUCAUGCCCCUUACGUCCUGGGCUACACACGUACUACAAUGCUACGGACAAAGAGCAGCUAACUCGCGAGAGUACGCAAAUCUCAUAAACCGUGGCUCAGUUCAGAUCGUAGGCUGCAACUCGCCUACGUGAAGGAGGAAUCGCUAGUAAUCGCAGGUCAGCAUACUGCGGUGAAUACGUUCCCGGGCCUUGUACACACCGCCCGUCACACCAUGGAAGUUGGCCACGCCCGAAGUCGUUACUCCAACCCUCUGGGAGGAGGACGCCGAAGGUGGGGCUGAUGACUGGGGUGA
RNAcentral lists this ribosomal RNA (1406 nucleotides) under uncultured bacterium. RNAcentral's name for it is "bacterial SSU rRNA". It matches the Rfam family "Bacterial small subunit ribosomal RNA". The record is from RNAcentral.